This is a long non-coding RNA of Lingula anatina, 804 nucleotides long. The record is from RefSeq and is a predicted model, not a curated record. NCBI's taxonomy places the organism in Eukaryota, Metazoa, Brachiopoda, Lingulata, Lingulida, Lingulidae.
AGUAAACCACUGACCAAUCCUUAUCCAACUGUCACUAAUAAUUCACCAAGGAACAACAAAAAUAUCAUCAUGAAGACUGUCGUCUGCUUCUGUGUCACGUUAGUUGUGAUGUGCAUUGCGAUCGCCAACCAAAGAGCCGAGGCUUAUCACUGGUUUGGGAGAUCUCAAGCAGUUUCCAACUCAGACGCGUCUUCAGACUCUGAUACAAAGUUGGUCUCUUUGUUGCGCCGGCUCUACGAUGCAGACACCAAAGACGAGAACUUAUCAAAGGCCGCCUCCAAAGACGUUUCGAAAAAAGCCCAAUCCAGUGCCGAAGAUACAUUAAAACAUGUCUACGCAGUGCUGAGAGAUUAUUAUGAAAAGAAAACCAUCUGAGAAUGUAUCCAUGAUUGUAAACUUUCAGAGAUAUUUUAUAUACUCAGCAUAAUAAAGGACAUGUGAUCUCUCUAUGCACUGCUGACACCUAGUGGACAACACAGAAAGCACAUCACGACAGCCUGUGGCACAAGUUUUAUUCGUAGAAAAAGUUGUAGAUGACAACUCAAGAAGUAUAGUUGCUUUUACUGAACAUGGUAUAAACACCUGUAUUCAUUUUCUGCCUGCUUUUCUUCCAAGUGUAAACUAUCAAGACUCGAGACAAAAAACAGAAAAAGAAGAAAAAAGGACAAGACACUCCACUGAUUCUAACAAAAAGACUUGUAUUUUGAAACUUUAUUUGUUUGCAUGCAUAUGCUUAUUAUGAUAAAGAUGAAACGUUUCAAGAAAGUUUUACCUUUGUGAAACCAUCAAAUAAGACUUCACAAA